RNAcentral lists this ribosomal RNA (383 nucleotides) under uncultured bacterium. Its description in RNAcentral is "bacterial SSU rRNA". It matches the Rfam family "Bacterial small subunit ribosomal RNA", at positions 29 to 402 of the family's 1533-position model. The record is from RNAcentral.
AACGAACGCUGGCGGCGCGCCUAACACAUGCAAGUCGAACGAGAAGGCGUAGCAAUACGCUUGUAAAGUGGCGAACGGGUGAGGAAUACGUGGGUAACCUACCCUCGAGUGGGGAAUAACCAACCGAAAGGUUGGCUAAUGCCGCGUACGCUUCCAUCUCUUCGGAGGUGGAAGGAAAGCUGUACCGUGGGUACAGCGCUCAAGGAUGGGCUCACGUCCUAUCAGCUUGUUGGUAGGGUAACGGCCACCAAGGCAACGACGGGUAGCUGGUCUGAGAGGACGAUCAGCCACACUGGCACUGCGACACGGGCCAGACUCCUACGGGAGGCAGCAGUGAGGAAUAUUGCGCAAAUGGGCGAAAGCCUGACGCAGCGACGCCGCGU